GACGAACCGUGCGAACGUUAUUCGGAAUCAUUGGGCUUAAAGGGCGCGUAGGCGGCGGUGUAAGUUGGAAGUGAAAUCCCAUCGGCUCAACCGUGGAAUUGCUCCCAGUACUGCAUCGCUCGAGGGGGAUAGGGGUCUGCGGAACUACCGGUGGAGCGGUGAAAUGUGUUGAUAUCGGUGGGAACGCCAGUGGCGAAAGCGGCAGACUUGACCCUUCCUGACGCUGAUGCGCGAAAGCUAGGGGAGCAAACGGG
This 254-nucleotide ribosomal RNA is filed under the name uncultured bacterium. RNAcentral's name for it is "partial 16S ribosomal RNA". It matches the Rfam family "Bacterial small subunit ribosomal RNA", at positions 524 to 776 of the family's 1533-position model. The record is from RNAcentral.